Molecule: long non-coding RNA, 1101 nt
Filed under: Homo sapiens (human)
Lineage: Eukaryota; Metazoa; Chordata; Mammalia; Primates; Hominidae
Description: non-protein coding lnc-RNF40-2:1
Source: RNAcentral
CGGCCACCAGAGAGAAUCUGAUGCAACGUGAAGACCUCAGCCAGCAGGAGCCUGAGGCACACGGAGAGGAGGAAGUGGAAGAGGAGGACGGGAGAGGCACGGUGGUGGCAGGAAUGAAGGCAGAGGUGGGAGGCUGGCCAGGGCCACUCCACCCCACGCCCACCCCGGAGAGGGCCGAGGAAGCCACCAUCACGCAGCGUGUCACGGGGACCAGGCGGGGUUUAAGGCUGAGGGCUCGGGGCGGGCAGGGCCUCCGGCCUCAGUCAAAGCCGUGCCAGUGGCUGUGCUGCGAGUCUUAUUCCAGCGCGGCGCCCGAGCCCUUGACACCGUCCAGCAGGUGGGCAUGCCGUGGUGUCGGCCCCUGGCGCCAGCCUGCACUGCCACGCUCACACAGGCGCCGGCGCCACCUUCGCAGGCUGGCAGCAUCGCGGCUUUGAGGACACCCUCUUUGUGCGCUGAGUACUCGCACUUGACACUGUAACCUUCAGGGACAGGAACAACGCUGAGGAGCUUGACAUGCAGAGGCUGGGAACAGGUGCCUCACGGACGUGCUUGCUCACUGGGCGGGGGAAGAGUGAAGGUAAUCUCAUACCUGCGCAGGAUCUUCAGGAAGCCAACCUUGACCAGAAAGCUGCUGUCGCUGUCCUGGGUGGCCAUGACCACCGAGUCAUGAAGCCUCUCAUCAAAGCAGACGUGGCUCUGGGAGUAUUACAGGUCGAGAAAAUGUGGGUCGUGACCAACUCAGUAUACCACUGGAGGCUAUAUGAGUAAACAGAAAACUGUUCUCAUGAAAGCAGGAUGUUGGAAAACUGAGGGCUGCAUCUGCCCACAGAGGGAGUGCUGAGAGCAGUCACGCCCCAAGCGCAGUGUUCCUUGUGAUUACCUAUAGGAACAUCUGAAGCCUGUUGUACAAAGAAAGCAAUUAUGUGUACCUGUGAUAAAUCAAGCAACUGACCAACCGUUACCUCUCCCUCCCUGCUCUUUCUACCUAAUAAAUACGAAGGGCUGUGGAAGCUCAGGGCUGCCCUUGUUCACUAGAAGCAAGGAGCCCCCUGACCCCUUCUUUCAAAACAGAUCUUUUUGUCUUGGUCUUCAUUUCUG